RNAcentral lists this small nucleolar RNA (147 nucleotides) under Echinops telfairi (small Madagascar hedgehog). Lineage: Eukaryota; Metazoa; Chordata; Mammalia; Afrosoricida; Tenrecidae. The record is from RNAcentral.
CCACUUGCUUUGAAAAUUACUUGACAAAAUGUUGUAUCGAAAUGAAUAGAUCCUCCAGAGUUAAGCUGCAGUGCCAGAGCAAGUGCUCAUGCAUAAAUGGGGCCACCAAGGCUCUGCAGGUGGCCCUUUUAACCAAGAGCAACAUGG